RNAcentral lists this ribosomal RNA (450 nucleotides) under uncultured bacterium. RNAcentral describes it as "bacterial SSU rRNA". It matches the Rfam family "Bacterial small subunit ribosomal RNA", at positions 62 to 528 of the family's 1533-position model. The record is from RNAcentral.
UCGAACGGGCGCUCAGCGGGCAUAACGCAUGGCGAAUGGCUACCUGGUAAGUAAUUCAUCUGACCUCGUCCGGUGAUGGGGGAUACGCCCGGGCAGGCCCGUAUUACUUGAGAUUACGCUCAACACAGGAUGGUGGGGGAUCGUCCGACCUGGCGCUAGAGGAGGAGCCCAUGGCCGAUUAGCUAGUUGGUGGGGUAACGGCCCACCAAGGCGACGAUCUGUAGCUGGUCUGAGAGGACGGCCAGCCACACUGGGACUGAGACACGGCCCAGACUCCUACGGGAGGCAGCAGUGGGGAAUCUUGCACAAUGGGCGCAAGCCUGAUCCAGCAAUGCCGCGUGUGUGACGAAGGCCUUCUGGUUGGUAAGCAUCUUUGUCAAGGAAACAUAAGGCGUGUCUCUUAUGGAAACUCCACGACCGUAUCUGUACCAUCAGCCAGCGGUUAUACUA